GAAAGAGCCAAGCAGCUUCCAAGAGGGUGUUUCCUCAGCGUGACCCAGAAGAGAGUUUGAGAACGGGCUGGGUGCUCCUUCUGAGCACAGUCAGAGCUUCUGGAAACUUCAAGAUGGCCUACUACCAGCAGAAGAGACACAGCUGGCCACUUCUGGCUGAGGGGAGAUCUUAUUGCUCUCUUCAAAUACCUCAAAGAUUUGAAGGUGGUUGUCGCUGGUACCUUUGGCAUUUCUGUUCUCAAAGCCAUUCAGACAGCAAAUGUGCUCUGGAGCUGUGACUCAUGUCUGACUCAGAAAAUGAGGUCUCCCAGUAUUUCUGAUUGGCUGCAAGCUUUUCAAUCUGGCUUCAGAAGUGCUACAAUCAAAAUGCAGCUGAAUUCCUGUCAUGAAGAGGGAGAAGAAACAGCAGCAUUUACUAUGUCAUUUAUAGCAGCUGUCACUUUUAAAAGUUACUAAACUCUCCUUACCUAGAAAAGUAUUUAAUCUUUUCAUUGCCCCAGGCAUUUGAUUUUCCUUUUCUCAGUUCGCUUCAGCUUUCAUCCUUUCCUUAUCAUCCUAUGUGUCUAUCAACACAGUCUUUUCUGUAUUAUUUUCCCUGAUACUGAAUGCAGAACUUUGUAAAGAAUUCUUAAAACAAUUGUCAAGGUUGAACUGAAUUCAAGAAUAAAAAUACAUAUAUCUGUAUCUCA
Molecule: long non-coding RNA, 689 nt
Filed under: Phasianus colchicus (ring-necked pheasant)
Lineage: Eukaryota; Metazoa; Chordata; Aves; Galliformes; Phasianidae
Description: lncRNA (ENSPCLG00000020885.1)
Source: RNAcentral